Molecule: ribosomal RNA, 445 nt
Filed under: uncultured bacterium
Lineage: Bacteria
Description: bacterial SSU rRNA
Rfam family: Bacterial small subunit ribosomal RNA
Source: RNAcentral
GUAAGGAAUAUUGGACAAUGGGCGCAAGCCUGAUCCAGCCAUGCCGCGUGAAGGAUGAAGGCCCUAUGGGUUGUAAACUUCUUUUGGUAGGGAAAAAACCCCUCGAUGCGUCGGGGGCUGAUGGUACCUACAGAAUAAGGAUCGGCUAACUCCGUGCCAGCAGCCGCGGUAAUACGGAGGAUCCAAGCGUUAUCCGGAUUUAUUGGGUUUAAAGGGUGCGUAGGCGGAUAAAUAAGUCAGUGGUGAAAGCCUGCAGCUUAACUGCAGAACUGCCAUUGAUACUGUUUAUCUUGAAUAUAGUUGAGGUGGGCGGAAUAUGACAUGUAGUGGUGAAAUACUUAGAUAUGUCAUAGAACACCGAUUGCGAAGGCAGCUCACUAAGCUAUGAUUGACGCUGAGGCACGAAAGCGUGGGUAGCAAACAGGAUUAGAAACCCCAGUAGUCC